This is a small nuclear RNA of Quercus lobata, 98 nucleotides long. The record is from RefSeq and is a predicted model, not a curated record. NCBI's taxonomy places the organism in Eukaryota, Viridiplantae, Streptophyta, Magnoliopsida, Fagales, Fagaceae.
GGUUUUGUUCUUCUGAUAAAAUUGGAACGAUACAUAGAAGAUUAGCAUGGCCCUUGCGUAAGGAUGACACGCAUAAUCGAGAAAUGGUCCAAAUUUUU